GUAGGUGGCAAGCGUUGUCCGGGAAUUAUUGGGGCGUAAAGCGCGCGCAGGCGGUUCUUUAAGUCUGAUGUGAAAGCCCACGGGCUCGACCGUGGAGGGUCAUUGGAAACUGGAGAACUUGAGUACAGAAGAGGAAAGCGGAAUUCCACGUGUAGCGGUGAAAUGCGUAGAGAUGUGGAGGAACACCAGUGGCGAAGGCGGCUUUCUGGUCUGCAACUGACGCUGAGGCGCGAAAGCGUGGGGAGCAAACAGGAUUAGAUACCCUGGUAGUCCACGCCGUAAACGAUGAGUGCUAAGUGCUAGGGGGUUUCCGCCCCUUAGUGCUGCAGCUAACGCAUUAAGCACUCCGCCUGGGGAGUACGGCCGCAAAGGCUG
This 375-nucleotide ribosomal RNA is filed under the name uncultured organism. RNAcentral's name for it is "partial 16S ribosomal RNA". It matches the Rfam family "Bacterial small subunit ribosomal RNA", at positions 527 to 896 of the family's 1533-position model. The record is from RNAcentral.